Balaenoptera musculus (blue whale) is the source of this 71-nucleotide small nucleolar RNA. The record is from Ensembl. NCBI's taxonomy places the organism in Eukaryota, Metazoa, Chordata, Mammalia, Artiodactyla, Balaenopteridae.
UAUCUAUGAUGAUCCUAUCCCGAACCUGAAUUUCUGUUGAAAAAAUCUUAUACGGAUCUGGCUUCUGAGAU